AAAAAUAAUUAUAUUUUCUAAAAGAGAAGAUAAGCAUUGUUUUACAUUUUGCAAGUCUCCUUAGUGUCUGACUUAGUAGAAGACAGCUGGGUUUUCAGGUCUGCUCCUGCAUUCAGUAUGUUCAAGUACAUGAAGAAAGCCUAUCUUUUCCAGUAUUUGCAGAUGGAAAACAGAUAAUUUUAUAGACUUUUCAGAUAUUUGUGGGUAUUUUCUUUAAUACUACACCAAAACUCAGAAAUCAAGGUUUUGUAAAGGUCAGUUGGCAUGUAGAAUUUUAAAUUGUGAACUCUCCAUUGGUCUAUCUUGCACUUUGAGCAGUUCUGUAACAUCAUGCAUUGAUCAUUUAGACAUGAGUGGUGACAGAUCUUCUAAAUGUUGGCAUAUUUCAUUUCAAAAUGUCCAAAAUCACAUGUGUUACUAUCACACCAUCUCAUCAGAAAAGUCUGGUUUGGGUAAUCUGUCAAUCAUGGAUACAAGUGUGUAUAACUUUCCUAAAAUUCUAUUUUCUCUUGAAACUUCAAAUUUCAUCAUUGGCAAUAAAAAC
This 544-nucleotide long non-coding RNA is filed under the name Marmota monax (woodchuck). The record is from RNAcentral. Lineage: Eukaryota; Metazoa; Chordata; Mammalia; Rodentia; Sciuridae.